CCUACGGGCGGCAGCAGUGAGGAAUAUUGGUCAAUGGCCGGGAGGCUGAACCAGCCAAGUCGCGUGAGGGAAGACGGCCCUACGGGUUGUAAACCUCUUUUGUCAGGGAGCAAGGUGCAGGUCGGGACCUGCUGUGAGAGUACCUGAAGAAAAAGCAUCGGCUAACUCCGUGCCAGCAGCCGCGGUAAUACGGAGGAUGCGAGCGUUAUCCGGAUUUAUUGGGUUUAAAGGGUGCGAAGGCGGAGGCACAAGUCAGCGGUAAAAUCGCGGGGCUCAACCCCGCCCCGCCGUUGAAACUGUGUGCCUUGAGUGCGCGAAGGGUAGGCGGAAUGCGUGGUGUAGCGGUGAAAUGCAGAGAUAUCACGAAGAACUCCGAUCGCGAAGGCAGCCUACCGGCGCGCAACUGACGCGCAUGCACGAAAGCGUGGGUAUCGAACAGGAUUAGAUACCCUAGUAGUC
Molecule: ribosomal RNA, 459 nt
Filed under: uncultured bacterium
Lineage: Bacteria
Description: partial 16S ribosomal RNA
Rfam family: Bacterial small subunit ribosomal RNA
Source: RNAcentral